This is a non-coding RNA of Arvicanthis niloticus (Nile rat), 80 nucleotides long. The record is from RefSeq and is a predicted model, not a curated record. NCBI's taxonomy places the organism in Eukaryota, Metazoa, Chordata, Mammalia, Rodentia, Muridae.
CUACAGAGAGAAAUUUGAGGAUGAGAACUUCAUCCUGAAGCAUACAGGUCCUGGCAUCUUGAGAACGGAAGAGCAGUUCG